AUUGUUUUGGUUGAGCAAGUUAUUAGACACCAAGUAUGAACAGGUGGACAAGGAUACCAUAGAGAGUUUUGUGAAAGAGAUUACAACCAUUUUUGCGUCCCCUUUUGGACGAUCAACUAGUGGUGGCAAGAAAAAAGAGUGGCAACAUCUAGAGGGGUUCAUACGCAGUCUGGCGAGAGAAUUGUCUAACAAUUUUAGUGCUGUCAUAAUCCGUUUGCAUAUAUCAACAGUAAUACACCUGAGUGAGGUUUCAAGUGUGGAUGUGGAGACAGUUGCCUUGGUUGGUGUAUGCCGAAAACUAUCCAAUUAUAUGAUGUACCUUCUUGUCACACAACCAGUUAUGUUGCAGGUCACUGCUACCAGCGCCAAAUCAGUGCUAGAUGGCUUCCGCGACAAGUUUGUGACGAUGAUGACAGGCAGCGGAAGCAGCAUCGGCAAGCAGCAACAUGCCAUUCUGCAAAACCUCAAAGAGUUACUAUUGGAGGAGUCUUCCUCCUUGUCUCUGCCCGAACCAUGUAAAGAAACACUGGAGGAGAUGAGAGACAUGUGGGUGAGGAUCAUCGUGUACGCCGCUGGCAGGUCGCGGCCGGAGACUCACGCCACACAGCUAGCCAGAGGAGGGGAGUUCCUUACCUUCAUCUGGCUGCUCAUGGCACACAAAAACGUUGGGUCUUCAGUGGCCACUCCAGUGGAUCUUAUUAGCCCACCUUCUACUUUUGGACCUAUGACUGAUGUGCGAUUUUACGCCUUUGACUUUCGAUCAUAAUUCACAGCAAAUUGAUGCCAUCAUCUGAGAUCGGUUGCUUACGGCACACAUAGAGAGACAGAGUGCUCGAGGACUACGUGUUCGACAUGACCAGACUUCAUAUCAUCGUAUGCUUCCCAUGUCCCUUCUCCAUUGCCUCAACUCAGCUUGAUGAUUUUGGCUAACCUGCAUUCACGCCUUAGUGAAUCAUGGUUGCUUAGUUAUUAACUAGCACAGCUACCCUGACAAAUGUGAGGAUGUUCUUUAAUGUGUUAAAGUUGUCCUAGAAAUGAACUCCGGGUGUCCUAUAUAUA
Lolium rigidum is the source of this 1059-nucleotide long non-coding RNA. RefSeq lists it as uncharacterized. The record is from RefSeq and is a predicted model, not a curated record. Lineage: Eukaryota; Viridiplantae; Streptophyta; Magnoliopsida; Poales; Poaceae. The transcript has 2 exons.